GUACAGGUGGUGCAUGGCUGUCGUCAGCUCGUGUCGUGAGAUGUUGGGUUAAGUCCCGCAACGAGCGCAACCCUUGUCUUUAUGUUGCCAGCACGUGAUGGUGGGGACUCGUAAGAGACUGCCGGGGUCAACUCGGAGGAAGGGUGGGGACGACGUCAAGUCAUCAUGCCCCAUAUGUCCAGGGCUUCACACAUGCUACAAUGGCCAGUACAGAGGGCUGCGAGACCGUGAGGUGGAGCGAAUACCCUUAAAGCUGGUCUCAGUUCGGAUCGGGGUCUGCAACUCGACCCCGUGAAGUCGGAGUCGCUAGUAAUCGCAGAUCAGCAACGCUGCGGUGAAUACCGGUUCCCGGGCCUU
Molecule: ribosomal RNA, 357 nt
Filed under: uncultured Rhodococcus sp.
Lineage: Bacteria; Bacillati; Actinomycetota; Actinomycetes; Mycobacteriales; Nocardiaceae
Description: bacterial SSU rRNA
Rfam family: Bacterial small subunit ribosomal RNA
Source: RNAcentral